This 508-nucleotide ribosomal RNA is filed under the name uncultured bacterium. RNAcentral's name for it is "partial 16S ribosomal RNA". It matches the Rfam family "Bacterial small subunit ribosomal RNA", at positions 28 to 507 of the family's 1533-position model. The record is from RNAcentral.
GACGAACGCUGGCGGCGUGCCUAAUACAUGCAAGUCGAACGCUUCUUUCCUCCCGAGUGCUUGCACUCAAUUGGAAAGAGGAGUGGCGGACGGGUGAGUAACACGUGGGUAACCUACCCAUCAGAGGGGGAUAACACUUGGAAACAGGUGCUAGUACCGCAUAACAGUUUAUGCCGCAUGGCAUAAGAGUGAAAGGCGCUUUCGGGUGUCGCUGAUGGAUGGACCCGCGGUGCAUUAGCUAGUUGGUGAGGUAACGGCUCACCAAGGCCACGAUGCAUAGCCGACCUGAGAGGGUGAUCGGCCACACUGGGACUGAGGCACGGCCCAGACUCCUACGGGAGGCAGCAGUAGGGAAUCUUCGGCAAUGGACGAAAGUCUGACCGAGCAACGCCGCGUGAGUGAAGAAGGUUUUCGGAUCGUAAAACUCUGUUGUUAGAGAAGAACAAGGACGUUAGUAACUGAACGUCCCCUGACGGUAUCUAACCAGAAAGCCACGGCUAACUACGUG